AUUGAACGCUGGCGGCAUGCUUUACACAUGCAAGUCGAACGGUAACAGGCCGCAAGGUGCUGACGAGUGGCGAACGGGUGAGUAAUGUAUCGGAACGUGCCCAGUCGUGGGGGAUAACGUAGCGAAAGCUACGCUAAUACCGCAUACGAUCUAUGGAUGAAAGCGGGGGAUCGCAAGACCUCGCGCGAUUGGAGCGGCCGAUAUCAGAUUAGGUAGUUGGUGAGGUAAAGGCUCACCAAGCCGACGAUCUGUAGCUGGUCUGAGAGGACGACCAGCCACACUGGGACUGAGACACGGCCCAGACUCCUACGGGAGGCAGCAGUGGGGAAUUUUGGACAAUGGGCGCAAGCCUGAUCCAGCAAUGCCGCGUGCAGGAUGAAGGCCUUCGGGUUGUAAACUGCUUUUGUACGGAACGAAAAGGUUUGUCUUAAUACGAUGAGCUCAUGACGGUACCGUAAGAAUAAGCACCGGCUAACUACGUG
Molecule: ribosomal RNA, 482 nt
Filed under: uncultured bacterium
Lineage: Bacteria
Description: bacterial SSU rRNA
Rfam family: Bacterial small subunit ribosomal RNA
Source: RNAcentral